GAUGAACGCUGGCGGCGUGCCUAAUACAUGCAAGUCGAGCGAACAGACGCGGAGCUUGCUCCUCUGACGUUAGCGGCGGACGGGUGAGUAACACGUGGAUAACCUACCUAUAAUACUGGGAUAACUUCGGGAAACCGGAGCUAAUACCGGAUAAUAUCUUGAACCGCAUGGUUCAAUAGUGAAAGACGGUUUUGCUGUCACUUAUAGCUGGAUCCGCGCCGCAUUAGCUAGUUGGUAAGGUAACGGCUUACCAAGGCAACGAUGCGUAGCCGACCUGAGAGGGUGAUCGGCCACCCUGGAACUGAGACGCGGUCCAGACUCCUACGGGAGGCAGCAGUAGGGAAUCUUCCGCAAUGGGCGAAAGCUUGGCGGAGCAACGCCGCGUGAGUGAUGAAGGUCUUCGGAUCGUAAAACUCUGUUAUGAGGGAAGAACAAAUGUGUAAGUAACUAUGCACGUCUUGACGGUACCUAAUCAGAAAGCCACGGCUAACUACGUG
RNAcentral lists this ribosomal RNA (497 nucleotides) under uncultured bacterium. RNAcentral's name for it is "partial 16S ribosomal RNA". It matches the Rfam family "Bacterial small subunit ribosomal RNA", at positions 28 to 507 of the family's 1533-position model. The record is from RNAcentral.